AUGAACGCUGGCGGCGUGCCUAACACAUGCAAGUCGAGCGGCAGCGAGGGGUGCUUGCACCCUGUCGGCGAGCGGCGGACGGCUGAGUAACGCGUGGGAACGUGCCCCAAAGUGAGGAAUAACUGCCCGAAAGGGUAGCUAAUACCGCAUAUUAUCUUCGGAUCAAAGGAUUUAUCCGCUUUGGGAGCGGCUCGCGUCGGAUUAGGUAGUUGGUGAGGUAAUGGCUCACCAUGCCGACGGUCCGUAGCUGGUCUGAGAGGAUGACCAGCCAGACUGGAACUGAGACACGGUCCAGGCUCCUACGGGAGGCAGCAGUGAGGAAUCUUCCACAAUGGGCGAAAGCCUGAUGGAGCAACGCCGCGUGCAGGACGAAGGCCUUCGGGUUGUAAACUGCUUUUAUAAGUGAGGAAUAUGACGGUAACUUAUGAAUAAGGAUCGGCUAACUACGUG
Molecule: ribosomal RNA, 450 nt
Filed under: uncultured bacterium
Lineage: Bacteria
Description: partial 16S ribosomal RNA
Rfam family: Bacterial small subunit ribosomal RNA
Source: RNAcentral